Schistosoma rodhaini is the source of this 45-nucleotide non-coding RNA. The record is from Rfam. NCBI's taxonomy places the organism in Eukaryota, Metazoa, Platyhelminthes, Trematoda, Strigeidida, Schistosomatidae.
AUCCAACUGAUGAGUCCCAAAUAGGACGAAACGCGCUUCAUGGAU